UUAAAAGUAAGUUAAAAAAACUAAAGGAUUCAUACUCCUUAAAUGAUCUAUUCCUUUUAAA
This 61-nucleotide transfer RNA is filed under the name Rhipiphorothrips cruentatus. RNAcentral describes it as "tRNA-Met". The record is from RNAcentral. Lineage: Eukaryota; Metazoa; Arthropoda; Insecta; Thysanoptera; Thripidae.